GGCUCAGAACGAACGCUGGCGGCAGGCUUAACACAUGCAAGUCGAGCGCCCCGCAAGGGGAGCGGCAGACGGGUGAGUAACGCGUGGGAAUCUACCCUUGACUACGGAAUAACGCAGGGAAACUUGUGCUAAUACCGUAUGUGUCCUUCGGGAGAAAGAUUUAUCGGUCAAGGAUGAGCCCGCGUUGGAUUAGCUAGUUGGUGGGGUAAAGGCCUACCAAGGCGACGAUCCAUAGCUGGUCUGAGAGGAUGAUCAGCCACAUUGGGACUGAGACACGGCCCAAACUCCUACGGGAGGCAGCAGUGGGGAAUAUUGGACAAUGGGCGCAAGCCUGAUCCAGCCAUGCCGCGKGAGUGAUGAAGGCCCUAGGGUUGUAAAGCUCUUUCACCGGAGAAGAUAAU
RNAcentral lists this ribosomal RNA (401 nucleotides) under Rhizobium leguminosarum. RNAcentral's name for it is "bacterial SSU rRNA". It matches the Rfam family "Bacterial small subunit ribosomal RNA", at positions 21 to 452 of the family's 1533-position model. Lineage: Bacteria; Pseudomonadati; Pseudomonadota; Alphaproteobacteria; Hyphomicrobiales; Rhizobiaceae. The record is from RNAcentral.